Molecule: ribosomal RNA, 496 nt
Filed under: uncultured bacterium
Lineage: Bacteria
Description: partial 16S ribosomal RNA
Rfam family: Bacterial small subunit ribosomal RNA
Source: RNAcentral
GAUGAACGCUGGCGGCGUGCCUAAUACAUGCAAGUCGAGCGAACAGACGAGGAGCUUGCUCCUCUGACGUUAGCGGCGGACGGGUGAGUAACACGUGGAUAACCUACCUAUAAGACUGGGAUAACUUCGGGAAACCGGAGCUAAUACCGGAUAAUAUAUUGAACCGCAUGGUUCAAUAGUGAAAGACGGUUUUGCUGUCACUUAUAGAUGGAUCCGCGCCGCAUUAGCUAGUUGGUAAGGUAACGGCUUACCAAGGCAACGAUGCGUAGCCGACCUGAGAGGGUGAUCGGCCACACUGGAACUGAGACACGGUCCAGACUCCUACGGGAGGCAGCAGUAGGGAAUCUUCCGCAAUGGGCGAAAGCCUGACGGAGCAACGCCGCGUGAGUGAUGAAGGUCUUCGGAUCGUAAAACUCUGUUAUUAGGGAAGAACAAAUGUGUAAGUAACUAUGCACGUCUUGACGGUACCGAAUCAGAAAGCCACGGCUAACUACGU